CGGCGGGCUAGCCCGGGUAAUUCGGCGUUACCUGUAACCCGAAACCGUCGAUAGCGGGGGGCGAAGCCAGAGGAAGAAGUUUUGACUGUUGCCCGGCCCGCAGGUUCUACUGUGAAACCCCGUCCUGUGGGGCUAGUGUCGGUGCAAGGGCUUUCCUGAAGGAAGGUUUUUGUAUCUUAAUUGCGGACAAAGGUCU
RNAcentral lists this signal recognition particle RNA (196 nucleotides) under Candidatus Methanoperedens sp. RNAcentral's name for it is "partial signal recognition particle sRNA". It matches the Rfam family "Archaeal signal recognition particle RNA", at positions 1 to 199 of the family's 317-position model. Lineage: Archaea; Methanobacteriati; Methanobacteriota; Methanomicrobia; Methanosarcinales; Candidatus Methanoperedentaceae. The record is from RNAcentral.